RNAcentral lists this ribosomal RNA (509 nucleotides) under Salinicoccus sp. AP8H8. Its description in RNAcentral is "bacterial SSU rRNA". It matches the Rfam family "Bacterial small subunit ribosomal RNA", at positions 355 to 855 of the family's 1533-position model. Lineage: Bacteria; Bacillati; Bacillota; Bacilli; Caryophanales; Staphylococcaceae. The record is from RNAcentral.
UAGGGAAUCUUCCGCAAUGGACGCAAGUCUGACGGAGCAACGCCGCGUGAGUGAAGAAGGGUUUCGGCUCGUAAAACUCUGUUGUCAGGGAAGAACGCCGGUGGGAGUAACUGUCCAUCGGGUGACGGUACCUGACCAGAAAGCCACGGCUAACUACGUGCCAGCAGCCGCGGUAAUACGUAGGUGGCAAGCGUUAUCCGGAAUUAUUGGGCGUAAAGCGCGCGUAGGCGGUUCGUUAAGUCUGAUGUGAAAGCCCCCGGCUCAACCGGGGAGGGUCAUUGGAAACUGGCGAACUUGAGUGCAGAAGAGGAGAGUGGAAUUCCAUGUGUAGCGGUGAAAUGCGCAGAGAUAUGGAGGAACACCAGUGGCGAAGGCGGCUCUCUGGUCUGCAACUGACGCUGAUGUGCGAAAGCGUGGGGAUCAAACAGGAUUAGAUACCCUGGUAGUCCACGCCGUAAACGAUGAGUGCUAAGUGUUAGGGGGUUUCCGCCCCUUAGUGCUGCAGCAAA